This 497-nucleotide ribosomal RNA is filed under the name uncultured bacterium. Its description in RNAcentral is "partial 16S ribosomal RNA". It matches the Rfam family "Bacterial small subunit ribosomal RNA", at positions 28 to 507 of the family's 1533-position model. The record is from RNAcentral.
GAUGAACGCUGGCGGCGUGCCUAAUACAUGCAAGUCGAGCGAACAGACGAGGAGCUUGCUUCUCUGACGUUAGCGGCGGACGGGUGAGUAACACGUGGAUAACCUACCUAUAAGACUGGGAUAACUUCGGGAAACCGGAGCUAAUACCGGAUAAUAUAUUGAACCGCAUGGUUCAAUAGUGAAAGACGGUUUUGCUGUCACUUAUAGAUGGAUCCGCGCCGCAUUAGCUAGUUGGUAAGGUAACGGCUUACCUAGGCAACGAUGCGUAGCCGACCUGAGAGGGUGAUCGGCCACACUGGACCUGAGACACGGUCCAGACUCCUACGGGAGGCAGCAGUAGGGAAUCUUCCGCAAUGGGCGAAAGCCUGACGGAGCAACGCCGCGUGAGUGAUGAAGGUCUUCGGAUCGUAAAACUCUGUUAUUAGGGAAGAACAAAUGUGUAAGUAACUAUGCACGUCUUGACGGUACCUAAUCAGAAAGCCACGGCUAACUACGUG